Molecule: small RNA, 28 nt
Filed under: Bombyx mori (domestic silkworm)
Lineage: Eukaryota; Metazoa; Arthropoda; Insecta; Lepidoptera; Bombycidae
Description: ovarian small RNA-33762
Source: RNAcentral
UGCCGAACUGUGUGAAUGUGGUCCACGG